This 582-nucleotide ribosomal RNA is filed under the name uncultured bacterium. RNAcentral's name for it is "bacterial SSU rRNA". It matches the Rfam family "Bacterial small subunit ribosomal RNA", at positions 102 to 680 of the family's 1533-position model. The record is from RNAcentral.
ACGGGUGAGUAAUGUCUGGGGAUCUGCCCGAUAGAGGGGGAUAACCACUGGAAACGGUGGCUAAUACCGCAUAACGUCGCAAGACCAAAGAGGGGGACCUUCGGGCCUCUCACUAUCGGAUGAACCCAGAUGGGAUUAGCUAGUAGGCGGGGUAACGGCCCACCUAGGCGACGAUCCCUAGCUGGUCUGAGAGGAUGACCAGCCACACUGGAACUGAGACACGGUCCAGACUCCUACGGGAGGCAGCAGUGGGGAAUAUUGCACAAUGGGCGCAAGCCUGAUGCAGCCAUGCCGCGUGUAUGAAGAAGGCCUUCGGGUUGUAAAGUACUUUCAGCGGGGAGGAAGGCGAUGUGGUUAAUAACCGCAUUGAUUGACGUUACCCGCAGAAGAAGCACCGGCUAACUCCGUGCCAGCAGCCGCGGUAAUACGGAGGGUGCAAGCGUUAAUCGGAAUUACUGGGCGUAAAGCGCACGCAGGCGGUCUGUUAAGUCAGAUGUGAAAUCCCCGGGCUUAACCUGGGAACUGCAUUUGAAACUGGCAGGCUUGAGUCUCGUAGAGGGGGGUAGAAUUCCAGGUGUAGCG